AACGAACGUUAGCGGCGCGCCUAACACAUGCAAGUCGAGCGAGAAAGGGCUUCGGCCCCGGUAAAGCGGCGCACGGGUGCGUAACGCGUGGGAAUCUGCCCUUGGGUUCGGAAUAACAGUUAGAAAUGACUGCUAAUACCGAAUGAUGUCUUCGGACCAAAGAUUUAUCGCCCAAGGAUGAGCCCGCGUCGGAUUAGCUGGUUGGUGAGGUAAAGGCUCACCAAGGCGACGAUCCGUAGCUGGUCUGAGAGGAUGAUCAGCCACACUGGGACUGAGACACGGCCCAGACUCCUACGGGAGGCAGCAGUGGGGAAUAUUGGACAAUGGCGAAAGCCUGAUCCAGCAAUGCCGCGUGAGUGAUGAAGGCCUUAGGGUUGUAAAGCUCUUUUACCCGGGAUGAUAAUGACAGUACCGGGAGAAUAAGCCCCCGGCUAACUCCGUGCCAGCAGCCGCGGUAAU
This 459-nucleotide ribosomal RNA is filed under the name uncultured bacterium. RNAcentral describes it as "bacterial SSU rRNA". It matches the Rfam family "Bacterial small subunit ribosomal RNA", at positions 29 to 524 of the family's 1533-position model. The record is from RNAcentral.